UACGUAGGGGGCAAGCGUUGUCCGGAAUUAUUGGGCGUAAAGAGCGCGUAGGCGGUCCGAUAAGUCGGCUGUGAAAGUCAGGGGCUCAACCCUUGAAAGCCGGCCGAUACUGUCGGACUAGAGUCCGGAAGAGGCAAGUGGAAUUCCCGGUGUAGCGGUGAAAUGCGCAGAUAUCGGGAGGAACACCAAUGGCGAAGGCAGCUUGCUGGGAAGGUACUGACGCUGAGGCGCGAAAGCGUGGGGAGCAAACAGG
This 253-nucleotide ribosomal RNA is filed under the name uncultured bacterium. RNAcentral describes it as "partial 16S ribosomal RNA". It matches the Rfam family "Bacterial small subunit ribosomal RNA", at positions 524 to 776 of the family's 1533-position model. The record is from RNAcentral.